CCCUGCCCUUUGUACACACCGCCCGUCGCUACUACCGAUUGAAUGGCUCAGUGAGGCCUUCGGACGGGCUCGAAGAGGUUGGCAACGACCGCUUCGAGCCGGAAAGUUCGUCAAACUCGGUCAUUUAGAGGAAGUAAAAGUCGUAACAAGG
Molecule: ribosomal RNA, 151 nt
Filed under: Ascochyta medicaginicola var. medicaginicola
Lineage: Eukaryota; Fungi; Ascomycota; Dothideomycetes; Pleosporales; Didymellaceae
Description: partial small subunit ribosomal RNA
Rfam family: Eukaryotic small subunit ribosomal RNA
Source: RNAcentral